UUUUUCCCUCUCCUCACACCCUGAGCAGAGCAACCAACAGUUGUUGCCGUCUCCUUGGCCCUCGGCCCAGCCUCUUGGACUUCUGGUUCCCAUGCCACCUGCUGGGUCUAGUCCUGCUGGAAUACCACCAGGUGUCCCAACCACCCAUCCCCGUGCCUUAAGACUCUUGCUGUGGCCGCCCCAAGACCCGGGCUGAAUCCCCCACCCCUUGCUCGGUCACUCACUGUCCUCGUCGCACAAGGCACAGCCGCGACUCACCCCUGAAGAUGUCUGACUCCUGACAAAUGGCCACGAGCAGAUAAGGCAAGACAUUUUCUUCGAGCCCGCUUCCCUUUAACUCAUACUGGCAGAUCUAUAAUGAAGACCCAGCAGAACCUUAUCACCAAUUCAGAAAAGAACACAAGAUCCUAAUGGAAGGCCUGCCAUCCAGAGCUAGUCCAGAAGGUGUGACUGAAGUGCAUCAGAGCAUCCGGAGCAUCCGUUUCAAGGGCAGCCAUGGACACUGAGGCAAGGAACCAAUUUAAUAUAUUUUAUGUAAAGCAAUGAUUUAACCCUUGUGUAAAUCAAAAGGCAAUGCAGGGCCCAGCUCAAUGGGUUUUCUGUGCACAUUGGGGA
Long non-coding RNA from Ochotona curzoniae (black-lipped pika), 615 nucleotides. RefSeq lists it as uncharacterized. The record is from RefSeq and is a predicted model, not a curated record. The transcript is spliced from 3 exons. Lineage: Eukaryota; Metazoa; Chordata; Mammalia; Lagomorpha; Ochotonidae.